UUUUCGCAAUGCCCGAAAGGGUGACGAAGCGACGCCGCGUGGGUGAGGAAGGCCUUCGGGUUGUAAAGCCCUGUCAAAAGUUAAGAAAUGUAAGUGCGCUAAUAUCGCAUUUAUUUGACGAAGGCUCCAAAGGAAGCCACGGCUAACUCUGUGCCAGCAGCCGCGGUAAUACAGAGGUGGCAAGCGUUGUUCGGAAUUAUUGGGCGUAAAGAGCACGUAGGUGGGUUUGUAAGUCAGAUGUGAAAGCCUUCUGUUCAACGGAAGAAUUGCAUCUGAAACUACAAGUCUUGAGUGUAGGAGGGGAGAAUGGAACUUCUGGUGGAGCGGUGAAAUGCGUAGAUAUCAGAAGGAACGCCGGCGGCGAAAGCGAUUCUCUGGCCUAUUACUGACACUCAGUGUGCGAAAGCUAGGGGAGCAAACGGGAUUAGAUACCCCGGUAGUCCUAGCCGUAAACGAUGGGCACUAAGUAGAGGGGUU
RNAcentral lists this ribosomal RNA (477 nucleotides) under uncultured anaerobic ammonium-oxidizing bacterium. Its description in RNAcentral is "bacterial SSU rRNA". It matches the Rfam family "Bacterial small subunit ribosomal RNA", at positions 363 to 830 of the family's 1533-position model. The record is from RNAcentral.